UACGGAGGGUGCAAGCGUUAUCCGGAUUCACUGGGCUUAAAGGGCGUGUAGGCGGGCUAUUAAGUCAGUGGUGAAAUCUCCGGGCUCAACCCGGAAACUGCCAUUGAUACUAUUAGUCUUGAAUAUCGUUGAGGUAGGCGGAAUAUAUCAUGUAGCGGUGAAAUGCAUAGAUAUGAUAUAGAACACCGAUUGCGAAGGCAGCUUGCUAAACGAUGAUUGACGCUGAGGCACGAAAGCGUGGUGAUCAAACAGG
This 253-nucleotide ribosomal RNA is filed under the name uncultured bacterium. Its description in RNAcentral is "partial 16S ribosomal RNA". It matches the Rfam family "Bacterial small subunit ribosomal RNA", at positions 524 to 776 of the family's 1533-position model. The record is from RNAcentral.